GUCUAUCUUCUUAAGAUCUAGUGCUCUAUGCAGGUUUUCCUUGCCAUAUGCACGAGCUUAACCUAUCUAUUAUUCUAUUUAUAGAAUCGCAGUAUAAACAACAUAUAUAACUGCCCUUGGACUAUUCUACAGCAUUGUCUUUGGUUAUAAUACUACUGGGAUAUUAUAUCCCCCUAGGACAUCAGCAUAUUUUACUAGAUACUUCAUGUCAUUAACCAUCUAAGAGCUUACCGUGAAUCCAGUGUGAACUCUGCUGGACUCUACUAGCAGUAUUGAGCUUAUAUCCAAACUUCACUACUAUUGAGGAGAGAAAUAGAUACAACGUAUUCUUACCUGUAUCUCUUCCUCCUUAACUGUGGUGAACCCCCUCUUUACAUCUCAUUGUCCGCACCUGCUAAAAUCAAGUGGAUCUGGCCUCCGCUGAUUGAAAGUGCAGCAUCCAAUAUCUCCUGUCCGCAUCAGGUUCGCCUUCGCUAUUUUUCUUGGCAGCUCCUCUUGGUUCUGCCAGGUUCUUUGAGCUCUUUAAACAUAAUUGGUAAGCGCACUAUAUUCUCUUAUUCUUAUUUUAUUAAUUGUAUAUGUGUUGAACACUUAUUUACAAAGUUUAAAGAUACUACAUUGACCC
Long non-coding RNA from Rana temporaria (common frog), 625 nucleotides. RefSeq lists it as uncharacterized. Lineage: Eukaryota; Metazoa; Chordata; Amphibia; Anura; Ranidae. The record is from RefSeq and is a predicted model, not a curated record. The transcript has 3 exons.